Molecule: microRNA precursor, 71 nt
Filed under: Myotis davidii
Lineage: Eukaryota; Metazoa; Chordata; Mammalia; Chiroptera; Vespertilionidae
Description: mir-9193 microRNA precursor family
Rfam family: mir-9193 microRNA precursor family
Source: Rfam by way of RNAcentral
CUUGGGGGGGGGUCCCUCAGCCCAGAUUGUGAGAGGGCACAGGCCAGGUCGAGGGACCCCCACAGUGCACC